AGAAUCAACGCUGGCGGCGUGCCUAACACAUGCAAGUCGAACGAGAAAGUGGAGCAAUCCAUGAGUAAAGUGGCGACCGGGUGAGUAACACGUGACUAACCUACCUUCGAGUGGGGGAUAACCUCGGGAAACCGAGGCUAAUACCGCAUAACAUCGCAAGAUCAAAGCAGCAAUGCGCUGGAAGAGGGGGUCACGGCUGAUUAGCUAGUUGGCGGGGUAACGGCCCACCAAGGCGAAGAUCGGUA
This 245-nucleotide ribosomal RNA is filed under the name uncultured bacterium. RNAcentral describes it as "partial small subunit ribosomal RNA". It matches the Rfam family "Bacterial small subunit ribosomal RNA", at positions 26 to 285 of the family's 1533-position model. The record is from RNAcentral.